This 253-nucleotide ribosomal RNA is filed under the name uncultured bacterium. RNAcentral's name for it is "partial 16S ribosomal RNA". It matches the Rfam family "Bacterial small subunit ribosomal RNA", at positions 524 to 776 of the family's 1533-position model. The record is from RNAcentral.
GACGAACCGUCCUAACGUUGUUCGGAAUCACUGGGCUUAAAGGGCGCGUAGGCGGCUUGCCAAGUCAGGGGUGAAAUCCUGCAGCUUAACUGUAGAAGGGCCUUUGAUACUGGCGAGCUCGAGGGAGGUAGGGGUAUGUGGAACUUCCGGUGGAGCGGUGAAAUGCGUUGAUAUCGGAAGGAACGCCGGUGGCGAACGCGACGUACUGGACCUCUUCUGACGCUGAGGCGCGAAAGCUAGGGGAGCAAACGGG